Molecule: long non-coding RNA, 1255 nt
Organism: Sardina pilchardus (European sardine)
Lineage: Eukaryota; Metazoa; Chordata; Actinopteri; Clupeiformes; Clupeidae
Exons: 3
Source: RefSeq, a predicted model, not a curated record
ACUGAAUAGUAGAGAUUCCUCCCUAACUUUUAUAAAGUGUAAGGGCACAAAUCCCGAAGCCAUUUGUUUUAUGCAGAAAUACUGCCGUCUACAAGUUCAUUUAAUGAUGUUGAAAGUUUCUUGGAUUAAGAUUUGACUGAAAAGGGGCAAUAUAGAAGAGGCAGUAGUUGACUUGAUGCAUAUCUUCGCUUUGCCUUGUCAUAGACCAGACUGUUUUCAAUGUUUAGAAUAUAUGGGAAGGGAAGCUAAAAUGAAAAUAUUCUCUGGAUCCCAAAAUAAUGCUAUUUUCUAAUGGGGUGUAAUAUUGGUAUUGAUAAAUAUUUGGCUAUUUCUUUCUGAUGAUGAAAGUAAUGCAUAUUCAUGUAUCUGUGUUACAGGUCAUUGUCACAAGUCACAAGUGGCUCCGGUCUGGUUUGGGGGUCUACCCUAGCUCAUCCUGUCCUGCCACCCACACAAAAAGAGAAAUAACUACAGGCCUCUGCAACUGCUGUCUCUAGGAACGGUACGCAAGUGUCCAGUGACAGCCCAGGCAACGGAUACCGUAACAUUCACCAAUGUGCUGGCGCAUGACCGAGAAGGGGGGACGUCGCAAACGCCAGUGUGAAGGAGCAAGCUAGAUUCAUUGAUGAUCAUCAUGUUUUGAAUAAAGUUUUUUUGGAAAAAAAAGUAAACAUUUUCUUCGAUUCUGAUUAGGGUUAUUGGGGUAUUGGACUAUGUUAGUCGCUGGGUAAUUUUCUUAGCCUUGUUUUAAAGACACCAAGCGAGAAUGUUAGAUUGUUAAAUGUGAAGGCUACUUUAUGCGGAUGUAGGCCUAUGAUUGUUGCUUCUGACUGUAGGGUAAUUAAAUAAGGUAGCCCAAACACAUCAUAGACUAAACAUCAUGUAGCCUAACUAUAAAUGCCGAAAAUAAGGCAUAGCUGGCAUCGAUCCGGUACGCGGUUCCAUGCCGCAUCUAUACGGGACUGGGCCAGCGCUGUUCCAGUUCCAAUUCGGAGCCGUGCAACGGAGCCUGACCACUUCGUGGCCGAUGUGCGUUUGGACGCUGGGCCGUGUCCGUUAAACGGAUCAGAUGCGGAUGGAACGGUAAGUGUGGGCCAGAUCCACCCCAGUGUAGUUUUACUGUUUUGGUACGGGAAUGGGCCAGCGCCGACCCAUCUCCGGUGCAGAGCCAUAAAACGAAUCCUGACCACUAUCGGCCCGCUGUGCGUUUGGACGCUGGACCGUGUCCGUGAGACGGAUCCGGGGCGGACCGCAU